AGCCCCUCCUUAGUGCUGUAAAAGCAGAAGGGAAAAAAAAAAAGGAGGAGGAAGAAAGGAAAUCGCAGCCAUACGGGCUAUGCUCCCCCAGCUGAACUGUAUCUGCAUUUCUAACGGUGGGAGAAAAGACACUAUAUGGCGAAGCGCUCCUCCCGCUGCCCUGCCAGGCUCAUCUGUCAGCCAUUAGUUAAUCAGGGCUGGUAACAGCGAGCACAGAGAGCUGGCACAGCGCAUGGGACCAGAGGACAGCUUCACCUCUGAGAGCAGGAGGAGGGCAAGGACUCAGGGACCCCUGCUUCACCAAGCUCCAGCUGGGUGGCUUCACUCACCGACACCCACUCAGUGUCUUUGUCUAGGACUGGCAGACGGCAACCUCCGCCUGACCCCACCCACCGCUUUACUUACAACAGGGAGGUUUCAGAGUCAGAAGUCAAAACAACACAUGUUAUCAACAUGGGAACAGCUGGUAAGAGUGGCGUCAUGGGGCACAGGAAUGUCAAGAGUCAUACAUCUUUUAUCCAUCAGGCCAAAAUAACCACCCAGACUUGGAACCACACACAGGAACAGCGUGAGAUAGUAACAUUUAUACAUGCAUCUCAUCUCACGCUAUCCAUAGUUCACUUCAUCCACCAGCUUCUAGAAACUGUAUGACAAUUUCAAUCCAACAAAUGCAUAUUAAAAUGUAUACAAAUGCCGAAUUUAGGUAUAUUUUGUUUCAUGCUAAAACAGCAGUGAUGAAUUACAGAUGUGACAAGUUGAUUCUGCCAUCUUAUUCAUUCAUUGUGCUGCUGAUUGUGUGACGUGGAAAUAAUUUCCAGUUUUUGACAGACUGUCAGCUGCAGUGACCUGCUGAUUGGCAAAAACUAAACAGCACAUUCUGCUUUUCCCAGUAAGAGUUAGCCGUCUUUAAAGAGUUAAAUAAACGACUGGUUGAGUUGGCACAAACAGUGUCUUCAGCACGGUUUCCUUUUUCAGUCAACACCACUCAGCAAAGGCACAACAAGAAAUCAUAAGUAAGAAUGAAAUGACAAAACAGCCGAGCUCUGACACUUUGUUUUCCAUGACCGUGUUAAAGUCAAACAUCCAGGAAAUGAGUGCCACACUAAAUACUGGGCAAAAUGAAGAAACAUGAGGGAAUCAACAGAAUGGAGCAAAUUCUUAUUGACAGAACUUAAGAAAUACAAACAGCAGACCAGUUGUGAAGUUAUAAAGCGGUGACCUUUAACACAGGGCAUCCAAGUCUAACUAUGUCUUCCUGCUAAAUGUUACACAGCUGUUUUUCUAAUCUGUCAUCGCAACCAGCCUGCCACAGCUUGCAGAGAGGGAAGUAUGGAAAAGCUCAGUGAAGUGGAAGAUCCUGACCUUGUGCUUAAAAAAAACAAAUUAAAAAGGAGAAUCUCAUUGUUACUGCACUUUAUCGACUGUUUACUAAGAUUGUUUAUACAUCGUUUUUUUUCCUUUCCCACCCAAAUUCCUCCUUUCACGAUCUUUUUUUUUCUAACCUUGUGCCUGAUUUCAGCUAAGUCCAUGGAUGGCACCAAGUGUUGACGAGGGAAAAUGCCUUCAUCAGAGGGAAACACAUCACAAAACCAAGAGAAAUCAAGAGACAAGCCACAAUCACUACCAAGAAAUAGAGGCACUGGGAAUAUUCCCUUUGAGAGCAUUUAGCUAAACCUACAUACUUAAUACAGGGGUCAGUGAUCUGAAAUCCAGCACCUAGUCAGACAGAAUACUUCUGACGGAAAUCAUUCCUUCAGCAUAUAUGUUGGCAAUGUUAGACUGGUGAAAUGAAAAAGAACUAGAGUAAAGACACUACCGUUCGGAAGUUUGGGGUCACUUAGAAAUGUCUUUACUUUUUAAAGAAAUCCAUUUUUUUCAACGGAGAUAACAUUAAAUUAAUCAGAAAUACAGUCUAGACAUUGUUAAUGUGGUAAAUGACUGUUCUAGCUGGAAACGGCUGAUUUUAAAUAGAAUAUCUACAUGGGGUACAGAGGAACAUUUCCAGCAACCAUCACUCCUGUGUUCUAAUGCUACAUUGUGUUAGCUAAUGGUGUUGAAAGGCUAAUUGACGAUUAGAAAAGCAUUGUGCAAAAAUGUUACCACAUGAAUAAAAGUGUGACUUUUCAUGGAAAACAUGAAAUUGCCUGGGUGAUCCCAAACUUUUGAACAGGUUAGAGUGCAUCAAAAAAGCACAUUUUUGAUACACCGAUUAAAAAUGUAAACUUUUUUGCAAAACAUUCCAGUGUGUUUUAAUAUUUCAGAGAAACUGUGCAUCAGACAAUGUUCGACACACUGGAAUUUUCUCACAUCUGUGGGCCAGUGGCCCCACACAAGUAGAAACAGACCAGACAGGUAGCUAAGUCACACGUAUGGUAUCAUACAUACAGUCAAACAGGGGUGAGGGUGAGUACAGUAAAAGCACUGGUGGAAAUGUGAUGUAGAGAAGGUACGACAUCACAUAACAGGAGCCUUUUCUGUCAGCCAGAGUUGAAAUAGAGAACUAUUAGCAAGCUGUUUGUGGAAGGGAGCUAGAAACACCCAAUCUAUCACUGCCUCUCCCACAAGAGUGGAAAAAAGCUGCCACAACUCCAUUUCAAUCCAUCACCUUGAUAGCAUCGACAGGCCUGAACAGCACCCGGCCCCGUUAGGUCUGAGCUUGUAGCCUCAUGCGAGAAGACUAUACAUUGAUCUCAAGUCUUAAAAGGCGACUCCUUGAGGCUUCAAAACACUUAGCAAGGGUUGAGGAAAAGCAGGCGCUCUCUACCUGUGUCAGAGCGAGGCCGAGCUCCUUGUCAUUGGACGUAGACCUACCUAAAUGCUUCCAGACUUUCAUGCCCUGUCUCCUCUCAUUUCAUCUCACUGCAUCUGCUCCGAACUCAGAUAACGCACAAAACAACAUCUCAGUUGGGCUUCUCUCUUGAUUUCUUUCAGUGUCCUACACAAAGUUUACCUGCACCUUAAUCUGCAAUAAAUUGUAAGGAUGCAAGUGCUCCUUCAACGUAUCUACAUCACAGUGUGCAACAUGUUCAACUUUUCUUUAUGUUGUCCAACUGAUAGACCAAAAAGGGACUUCCAUCCCUGACAUAAAUGCCAUGCUGUGAUCUAAAUAUUUUGAAUCUUGAGAUAACAUCUCACAGCAUCUGGUUUUCUCUUUCCCAAGUCGUAGUGGUUUGCCAAAAGCUGUAGGCUGCAGUGCUUGACUUCUAACCAGAAAAUCAUCCGCUGAACUGUUUUGCUUUCUCUCAAAGGCCAAAAUGAAACAUUAUCUAUCAACUCAGUCUUAAAUUAAAGCCACAACAAGAACCGAAGCUAGGGAACACCGGGAGGGACCUUUUCACACUCGCCUGGCACAUGUGCAAUAUCAGGAAACACAAGCUCAGUGAUGUCACAACCAACUGACCCCGAGGUGACAGGUUCGGAGAAUGUUCCUGCCCAUUGCCCUCAGGCCAAAGUCAAGUAUGUCAAUGUUGUGCAUGUGGAUUUCAUUUGAAGCGGCGUGAUUAGUUUGCAGACGCUCUGCUGCGAUCCCCCUCCAUGGGAAACACGCACUGGACAGGAAACGGUAUGUUUUUGUUAGCAACAAACAGGCAUAAAUUACUAAAAUGGUGCCUCGGUUGACAAUUUAUCAAACACAGCCAUAUUGUUGGUUUUUGCACACAGCUGACAUCGACGCUGCUUUGAAGGUAAUUAUCAUUAGUUAAUGAUAUUUACAUUCCGAUAGUUUAUGUUGAACUAUGUGCCUGUAUUCUGUCAUUUGUGCAAUAAAUGUGAUAAUUGUU
Long non-coding RNA from Acanthochromis polyacanthus (spiny chromis), 3779 nucleotides. RefSeq lists it as uncharacterized. Lineage: Eukaryota; Metazoa; Chordata; Actinopteri; Pomacentridae. The transcript has 3 exons. The record is from RefSeq and is a predicted model, not a curated record.